This 206-nucleotide ribosomal RNA is filed under the name uncultured Mesotoga sp. Its description in RNAcentral is "partial 16S ribosomal RNA". It matches the Rfam family "Bacterial small subunit ribosomal RNA", at positions 568 to 774 of the family's 1533-position model. The record is from RNAcentral. Lineage: Bacteria; Thermotogati; Thermotogota; Thermotogae; Kosmotogales; Kosmotogaceae.
AGCGUAGGUGGCCUAACAUGUCAACUGUGAAACCCGGAGCUCAACUCCGGACUUGCAGUUGAAACUGGUAGGCUUGAGGACGGUAGAGGAAGACGGAACUGCCAGUGUAGGGGUAAAAUCCUUAGAUAUUGGCAGGAACGCCGGUGACGAAGGUGGUUUUCUGGGCCGGUUCUGACACUGAUGCUCGAAAGCCAGGGGAGCGAACG